UAAUAAGUGAGACCAACGUUGUAAGGUGUUAACUCGGAGCCAUCAUCUAUCCUUGUGGAGAACAACACAGAGGACUUGGAUUAGGACCUGAUAGUCUACCUUGGCGGCACGUGAGAAUCACCUGGGGAGCUUGUGAAACAUGAGGCUGCCAGGCUGGACCUCACUCCAGACCAAUCGAAUCAGAAUCUUUGGGGUGGGGCCUGGGUGUUGGUAAUUAUCCUUUGAAACACUCCCCAGGUGAUUCUAAUGGAAUCUAGGGGCGAGAAUCACUGGGGUAAGGCAUUUGUAGAUGGGGAGAUUGGUGGCAUCUGCCAGAAGACUUGAUGUAUACUUGGCCAGAGAUAAACCACAAGUCUGGCCUGAAUGUGGAAAUGCGUCAGUCAUCUUUUCAGAUUUCCAAGGUCAUGUGAGCUUGGACUGAAGAUAGCCCAGCACAGGGCCAGCGAUGGCAGCUGGAAGGGUGGCUGCCUGGGAAGGAGGAUGCCUGUGGGGAAAUGGGAGCAGCAGCAAGAGAACCUGGCAGACAAGCACAUGGAAGAUGUCCAUGCAGCGCCCCUCUUCUUUCUCUGUGAUACAGUGCAGCUUGGAGGACGACGGUCUGGUUUCAGCAUCAGGUAGACGUGUGUUCAAAUGCUGGUUUUGCCACUUUGAAGCUGUUACCUUGGACAUGUUUCAUGUUGCUGAAACUCUG
RNAcentral lists this long non-coding RNA (691 nucleotides) under Rhinopithecus bieti (black snub-nosed monkey). RNAcentral describes it as "lncRNA (ENSRBIG00000045109.1)". The record is from RNAcentral. Lineage: Eukaryota; Metazoa; Chordata; Mammalia; Primates; Cercopithecidae.